RNAcentral lists this long non-coding RNA (247 nucleotides) under Elaeis guineensis (African oil palm). Its description in RNAcentral is "long non-coding RNA (EGUI_LNC056734)". Lineage: Eukaryota; Viridiplantae; Streptophyta; Magnoliopsida; Arecales; Arecaceae. The record is from RNAcentral.
AUGACACCCGAUAAGUCCCACAAUCUAUCAGUGAUACCUAGCAGUAUAUAGUGGCAACCUAGUAGAAUAAAAGUAUGAAUUUUUAGAUGCAGUUAUCGUAUGAUUCAGUCCUUCUAUCAUAAAUUCUAACUUAAUAGAGAUCUUGGAGAACUCACCAGACCCCAUUGUCAGUCAUAUGCAAGAUUGGCUUGACUUGAGUUCAUUUGUGAAUCUCAUAAAUUUUUUUUUUCAGUAUUCACACUUACUU